Long non-coding RNA from Lolium perenne, 1145 nucleotides. RefSeq lists it as uncharacterized. Lineage: Eukaryota; Viridiplantae; Streptophyta; Magnoliopsida; Poales; Poaceae. The record is from RefSeq and is a predicted model, not a curated record.
AAAUAUUUUUUAAUUUAAUUUUUUUCUUAAUUUGAACAAUUUUUAAAAAUUAAAAUUUUCGAAUCUGAAAAAAUAUAAAUAAAACCGAAAACAAAAAAAGAAAAGAAAACAGAAAAAAAACCCAGAAAAGAAUAAAAAGAAAAAACAAACUGCUACAUCUAAACAGCCACAAAUGGGCCUAGCCCAUACCCGAUCAGGGGGUGUGCGGUGGCCGGUAGCCACCGAUCUGGUCGGUGUAUAGGUUUUGCCAUCGGGAAUGGCAAGAAGUUUUGUUUUCCUUUUGUUUCGUCUCCUUCCAAGUUCCAAGUCCUCGUGCGUCUAGGCUCCAUUUUCCUCUUCCUCCCCGUAUCCAACUCAAAUUGGUCUGCGGGUGAUGAUAAUCCCCUGGAGGACAAUCUCGGUUGGGAGCCCAGAGACCAAGCAGCGACCUCGCGGCGGCGCCGCCUUCCCGCCCCUCUCUUUCUCCUCCGCCUCGGCUCUUCGGCUCCACGGUAAACCUCCACCGAGAAGAGGACAUGGGCGACCUCCACCCUUGCCUCCGGCGUCCCAUGCAGGGUGGAUGAAGUAUAGAUAGGUGUAGUUGCCGAGUUGGAGUUUCGUCCAGCGCUUCAACGGAAUCCCGAGUUUUCUCCUCAACUCCGGCCACCACCACCACCCAGCCGUGAGUUAGUUCGCCCUUCCUGACUACAAGUUCAGUACAUACGUGCUCUUUGUGUCAUCAACGGGAAUGAAGCCGAGGUGGUCUCGGAGGGCACAACCCAUCGUCGGUCUGUACCAGGGCCAAGGUCGUUGGCAGCCUCAAUCCCGAGUUCCGACCACCCUCCCCCAGCGGCUGCAACAGACAAAUGCCUCCUUACUGUCCAGAGUAGGGACUGUUUGCUGUUUGCUGUCUGAAAUUGUUGGCAAUUGUUGAACAACUCAAAUGAGAAUAAUACCGCAGAAACUUUCUGGUAGUUACUUCCAGCGAAAAUGGAGGGUGAUGUGAGCUUCACCACAUCAUUUUGUCGUUUGGUGUUGUGUUUGAGGACCAGUGCUCAGUGAAAGAAUACUAUGGCAUAAGGUUUAGUUUUUGGUUGGAGGAGCGUGUUCAGCAGCAUAGAGAGGUAUUAAUUUUCACAUAAGCAUUGGGUACGUUAAUAGGGCAU